UUGAAUGUGAAUUGAUUUCUGUUUGGAUAUAUUUAUUUAAAAGUGAUUCUUAUGAAUUGAUGUUGGUUGGAUAG
Molecule: microRNA precursor, 74 nt
Filed under: Medicago truncatula (barrel medic)
Lineage: Eukaryota; Viridiplantae; Streptophyta; Magnoliopsida; Fabales; Fabaceae
Description: MIR5272 microRNA precursor family
Rfam family: MIR5272 microRNA precursor family
Source: Rfam by way of RNAcentral